CCCUUAGAUGUCCUGGGCCGCACGCGCGCUACACUGAACGGAUCAGCGCGUUUUCCCUUCCCGAGAGGGACGGGUAACCUGCUGAACCCCGUUCGUGGUAGGGAUCGGGGCUUGCAAUUAUUCCCCGUGAACCAGGAAUGCCCAGUAAGCGCAAGUCAUAAGCUUGCGUUGAUUACGUCCCUGCCCUUUGUACACACCGCCCGUCGCUACUACCGAUUGAACGUUUUAGUGAGGUACUCGGACUGAGCCUCAGAAGAUUCACGUCUUUUGUGCUGCUCGGGAAGAUUCCCAAACUUGAGCGUUUAGAGGAAGUAAAAGUCGUAACA
Molecule: ribosomal RNA, 326 nt
Filed under: uncultured eukaryote
Lineage: Eukaryota
Description: partial 18S ribosomal RNA
Rfam family: Eukaryotic small subunit ribosomal RNA
Source: RNAcentral